UUGGACCUAUCAGGAGCUCUUGAUUUAACGAAACACCGUUUGACGUUACAGAAGAUGCAUCGAAAACCACUCUCAACUUCGAAGAAGGAUUAUCUGUGCGAAACAGACCAUGAUGUGGUAUAUAAUAUGGAUUUUUUGUUGGACAGCUGAUUGGAUAGGAUCUCUUAACAAACGAUGCUCCAAUGACAUGAAACGUUUUACAGCAGCAUUAUAAGAAUCUCCCAGAAUAGGGUUUCUAUGUUUGAAUGGCAAUGAAACCAUAAAUCGACCAUUCAAGGGUUUAGUUCAGAUUCGUUGAAGA
Onthophagus taurus is the source of this 301-nucleotide long non-coding RNA. RefSeq lists it as uncharacterized. The record is from RefSeq and is a predicted model, not a curated record. NCBI's taxonomy places the organism in Eukaryota, Metazoa, Arthropoda, Insecta, Coleoptera, Scarabaeidae.